GUGCCAGCAGCCGCGGUAAUACGUAGGUGGCAAGCGUUAUCCGGAAUUAUUGGGCGUAAAGCGCGCGUAGGCGGUUUUUUAAGUCUGAUGUGAAAGCCCACGGCUCAACCGUGGAGGGUCAUUGGAAACUGGAAAACUUGAGUGCAGAAGAGGAAAGUGGAAUUCCAUGUGUAGCGGUGAAAUGCGCAGAGAUAUGGAGGAACACCAGUGGCGAAGGCGACUUUCUGGUCUGUAACUGACGCUGAUGUGCGAAAGCGUGGGGAUCAAACAGGAUU
Molecule: ribosomal RNA, 275 nt
Filed under: uncultured Staphylococcus sp.
Lineage: Bacteria; Bacillati; Bacillota; Bacilli; Caryophanales; Staphylococcaceae
Description: partial 16S ribosomal RNA
Rfam family: Bacterial small subunit ribosomal RNA
Source: RNAcentral